CCUACGGGAGGCAGCAGUGAGGAAUAUUGGUCAAUGGGCGCUAGCCUGAACCAGCCAAGUAGCGUGAAGGAUGACUGCCCUAUGGGUUGUAAACUUCUUUUAUAUGGGAAUAAAGUGCAGUAUGUAUACUGCUUUGCAUGUACCUUAUGAAUAAGGAUCGGCAAACUCCGUGCCAGCAGCCGCGGUAAUACGGAGGAUCCGAGCGUUAUCCGGAUUUAUUGGGUUAAAGGGAGCGUAGGCGGGUUGUUAAGUCAGUUGUGAAAGUUUGCGGCUCAACCGUAAAAUUGCAGUUGAUACUGGCAUUCUUGAGUACAGUAGAGGUAGGCGGAAUUCGUGGUGUAGCGGUGAAAUGCUUAGAUAUCACGAAGAACUCCGAUUGCGAAGGCAGCCUGCUGGACUGUAACUGACGCUGAUGCGCGAAAGUGUGGGGAGCAAACAGGAUUAGAUACCCGGGUAGUC
Molecule: ribosomal RNA, 459 nt
Filed under: uncultured bacterium
Lineage: Bacteria
Description: partial 16S ribosomal RNA
Rfam family: Bacterial small subunit ribosomal RNA
Source: RNAcentral